UGCGAGUCGAGAGGUGAAAGACCUCGGCAUACUGCUCAGUAACACGUGGAUAAUCUGCCCUCAGAAGAAGAAUAAUCCCGGGAAACUGGGGCUGAUGCUUCAUAGGAGACGGGUGCUGGAAUGCUCUGUCUCUGAAAGGUCCGCCGUCUGAGGAUGAGUCUGCGUCCGAUUAGGUUGUUGUUGGGGUAACGGCCCACCAAGCCUUUGAUCGGUACGGGUUGUGGGAGCAAGAGCCCGGAGAUGGAUUCUGAGACAUGAAUCCAGGCCCUACGGGGCGCAGCAGGCGCGAAAACUUUACAAUGCGAGCAAUCGUGAUAAGGAAACCCUGAGUGCCUGUCAACGCAGGCUGUUCUGGUGUCUAACACACACCAGGAGAAAGGGCGGGGCAAGACCGGUGCCAGCCGCCGCGGUAAUACCGGCUGCUCGAGUGAUAGCCACUUUUACUGGGCUUAAAGCGUUCGUAGCUUGGUCGUUAAGUCUCUGGGGAAAUCUUUUGGCUCAACCGAAAGGCGUCUCAGGGAAACUGGCGACCUAGGAACCGGGAGAGGUAAGACGUACUUCGGGGGUAGGAGUGAAAUCUUGUAAUCCCCGAGGGACGACCGAUGGCGAAGGCAUCUUACCAGAACGGCUUCGACAGUGAGGGACGAAAGCUGGGGGAGCAAACCGGAUUAGAUACCCGGGUAGUCCCAGCCGUAAACGAUGUGCGUUAGGUGUGUCAGCGACCACGAGUCGCUGAGGUGCCGAAGGGAAACCGUGAAACGCACCGCCUGGGAAGUACGGUCGCAAGGCUGAAACUUAAAGGAAUUGGCGGGGGAGCACCACAACGGGUGGAGCCUGCGGUUUAAUUGGAUUCAACGCCGGG
RNAcentral lists this ribosomal RNA (862 nucleotides) under uncultured archaeon. Its description in RNAcentral is "bacterial SSU rRNA". It matches the Rfam family "Archaeal small subunit ribosomal RNA", at positions 52 to 922 of the family's 1478-position model. The record is from RNAcentral.